Molecule: long non-coding RNA, 373 nt
Filed under: Numida meleagris (helmeted guineafowl)
Lineage: Eukaryota; Metazoa; Chordata; Aves; Galliformes; Numididae
Description: lncRNA (ENSNMEG00000015738.1)
Source: RNAcentral
AAUACAGAAAAUUCCUUUCACUCAAGAGUACAGCUUUCAAGCUGGCACAAACACCUUGAAAAUAAAAGAAGAAAAAUCACGAAAACAAAACCAUUAAUAGGAAGACCACAAAGACUCCAUGAAUCUACAAAACCCUCUGUUUUGACUUUUCUGCUUGCACCUAAUGACAAAGCACAAAACACAAAACCCUUGUGACCAAAUAUAUUAAAACUCUGGAAUAAUGGUUGAAUUGGUUUGGAGAGGCUGAAGAAGCAUUUUCCUCAUUUUCCUUCACACUGCUUCAUCAGAUGAAACUGAGUAAAGUAAGUUUCUGAAGAUGCUGAAUUUCAAAAUGUGAGUAAAAAUUGUACGGAAUGCAUAGAAUCUUUGUCUU